Rhododendron vialii is the source of this 416-nucleotide long non-coding RNA. RefSeq lists it as uncharacterized. The record is from RefSeq and is a predicted model, not a curated record. The transcript has 2 exons. NCBI's taxonomy places the organism in Eukaryota, Viridiplantae, Streptophyta, Magnoliopsida, Ericales, Ericaceae.
UAUUGCCCUUAUUUAUAUGCUUGAAAUAUUUCAGCUCAGAGACUGGAGACUGCAAGCCAACAGGUCCAAGAAAACACCCUAAGUACUGCAGAGGAGGACCUAGAACUACCUUUAUUUGAUUUGGCCACCAUUUCAACAGCCACUAAUAAUUUCUCCUAUGAAAAUAAGAUCGGGGAAGGUGGAUUUGGUCCCGUUUAUAAGGGUCAACUCUUAAGUGGACAAGAAGUAGCGGUGAAGAGACUAGCCAAGAAUUCUAGGCAAGGCGUCAAAGAGUUCAAGAAUGAGUUUAUCUUCAUUGCGAAGCUACAACAUCGGAAUCUGGUCAGGCUGUUGGGAUGUUGCAUUCAUGAAGAAGAACGGAUGUUGAUAUAUGAGUACAUGUAAAAAAGAAGUUUAGAGUUACACAUAUUCAGUUA